RNAcentral lists this transfer RNA (71 nucleotides) under Helicoverpa armigera armigera. RNAcentral's name for it is "tRNA-Gln". Lineage: Eukaryota; Metazoa; Arthropoda; Insecta; Lepidoptera; Noctuidae. The record is from RNAcentral. RNAcentral also lists the same sequence under 1 other name.
UUAUAUUUUAGUGUAAGAUGCACAAUAGUUUUUGAUACUAUUAGAUAUAGUUUAAUUCUAUAAAAUAUAAU